Molecule: ribosomal RNA, 522 nt
Filed under: uncultured bacterium
Lineage: Bacteria
Description: partial 16S ribosomal RNA
Rfam family: Bacterial small subunit ribosomal RNA
Source: RNAcentral
AAUGAACGCUGGCGGCGUGGUUAAGACAUGCAAGUCGAACGGGUUUUUCGGUUGUAGCAAUACAACUGAAAAGCAGUGGCGAACGGGUGCGUAACACGUGAAAAAUUUACAUUCAAAUGGCGAAUAGCUCGGCGAAAGCCGGAUUAAUACCGCAUGUGGUUGGCCGCUGCAUGGUUGCCAUACUAAAGUCGGGGACAGCACGGCCUGACGCUUGAAGAGACGUUCGCGGGCUAUCAGCUAGUUGGCGGGGUAACGGCCCACCAAGGCUAAGACGGGUAGCUGGUCUGAGAGGAUGAUCAGACACACUGGAACUGAGACGCGGUCCAGACACCUACAGGUGGCAGCAGUUUCGAAUCAUUCACAAUGGGCGAAAGCCUGAUGGUGCGACGCCGCGUGAGGGAUGAAGGGCUUCGAAUUGUAAACCUCUGUCACCGGGGAAGAAACGCUUCAAUUUAACAGAUUGAAGCCUGACUUAACCCGGAGAGGAAGCAGUGGCUAACUCUGUGCCAGCAGCCGCAGUAA